RNAcentral lists this ribosomal RNA (253 nucleotides) under uncultured bacterium. RNAcentral describes it as "partial 16S ribosomal RNA". It matches the Rfam family "Bacterial small subunit ribosomal RNA", at positions 524 to 776 of the family's 1533-position model. The record is from RNAcentral.
UACGGGGGGGGUAAGCGUUGUUCGGAAUUACUGGGCGUAAAGGGCUCGUAGGCGGCCAACUAAGUCCGAUGUGAAAGCCCUGGGCUCAACCUGGGAAUGGCACUGGAUACUGGAAGGCUAGAGUACGGUAGAGGAGGGUGGAAUUCCCGGUGUAGCGGCGAAAUGCGUAGAGAUCGGGAGGAACAUCAGUGGCGAAGGCGGCCCUCUGGACCAGUACUGACGCUGAGGCACGAAAGCGUGGGGAGCAAACAGG